AGAUCCUAUCUAAUUUUCCACAAUGAGAAAUCCCCAUGUUGUCACACAAAAUAAGAGGAAUAAAAAGAAGUGGCAUGGAGGGGUUAUAGAUAAUGUCAAACAUUAUCUAAUAGGUAUCCUAUUUCAAAUCAGACUUGAACAUACCAUUUAAAACCAUAUCCUAUCCAAUUUUGGAUGUCAAAAAGGGAAGGGAAAGGUCUUUUGUGUGAAGAAAUCACACAUAAAAAAACUUUUGUCAUGAGG
Molecule: long non-coding RNA, 243 nt
Filed under: Elaeis guineensis (African oil palm)
Lineage: Eukaryota; Viridiplantae; Streptophyta; Magnoliopsida; Arecales; Arecaceae
Description: long non-coding RNA (EGUI_LNC074601)
Source: RNAcentral